RNAcentral lists this long non-coding RNA (443 nucleotides) under Sorghum bicolor (sorghum). Its description in RNAcentral is "long non-coding RNA (SBIC_LNC013421)". Lineage: Eukaryota; Viridiplantae; Streptophyta; Magnoliopsida; Poales; Poaceae. The record is from RNAcentral.
CGAACCGAAGCUAAGCUUACCAAGCACUCACACAACUCUACAAACACCAACUUAACCCUACAGAAAAGCACAAAGCUCGACUGCAGAACAUCCAAGCCACAGUACCAACACACCAAAGACAGAUCCUAAGAUAGCAUUAGUAUAGAGAGGCCUAUUACAAAAGAUCAGACAAAAAACAAACGCCAUUGAACAUCCUUCAGCCACUUCUUCAAGUCUUCUUUUAGUAUGUGACUAUCACUAUUCGUUCUGACGGUCCUUCUCUGUGUCCUGCAACAGCAAACAGCUUUCCUUCCGAGGUUUUUUUGUUCAACAGAUCAGUUGCAAUCCUCAGCAUAUUUUCAAUGAUACUUUUAUAAGAAAAUAUAAUUACGCUAUAACUUCUCGAUAAUAUAGUAGCGGAGGCGGUGUCGGCUGCUGUGCAUGCGUCGGUGCAUGUGUGGUUA